GUCCCCCGCGGCGACCUCUCCACUCGCCGUCGCCGUCCGUCGGGGAGGGAGCGUGCGUGCGGUCCCCCGCGGCGACCUCUCCACUCGCCGUCGCCGUCCUCGGCCACUCGCCGUCCCGACCUCUCCACUCGCCUCCUCUGGCCAGCCAACCAUAGUGGCAUCGUUCCUCUGACACCGGUCGGCGCUUCGACUUCGACUCCUACAACCGGCACCUCGACUUGUCAACAUCCUCCGUCGCCAAAUCUUAACCACUACGAGUUCAUCCGGCCAUCGUCGUGAACCUCCAAGCAGAUAUGCCACGCCCUUCAUGUCAUCAGGCCAACGACCUCACCCUGGGAGUCCACUUCUUCACGGUCACGACAUCUGCCUUGAAAAAUUAUCUGGAGUGAGUUCCAGAGACGAACGGGGAACUGGACUUUGAGCUGGAGCGGUCAUGUGUUCUUGCACCUGGGGAUUAAAAGCCAAUAUACAAUUUGUUCAUUUUCUUUUAGAGGUAUGUAACAUUGAUUCGUACGAUUAGUUGGUACUUAAGAACAUGGAUACCCACACUUUCCAGGAUGGCUCAAGCUGUUCUGAUAGUUGAUAUAGAUUUAAAUGACUAGGAGAACCUAAGUGGCUCAUUCAUACGCCACCAUUUCCAAUAUAUAUGGGGCAGUUCUUAAACGUGCAAAUGUUCAAGAAAUGAGUGCUCUCAUUUGUCAUGCCAUGGAAGUAUGGUUUGAAGUUUCCUUACUGCAAAGAUUUUUCUUCAACAUCUAUGAGCUGGCUAGCAAAAUUAUUGUAACUACAAUUCACAUCAGAUAUAAGGCGACAAAUAGGGCAUCAUCUAGGUCCAUACAUCUUAAUAUCAUUUUCACUGACGGUUGCUUUGCUAUCAUAGUCAUUGUUUAUGACAGAAUGUAUAAACCACAUGGAGCUUGUGACAUCGGAUGAAGCUAGCGCACGGCGGCAUACAACAGGAGCUAUUAGAGCUGGUUGUUACACGGGCAUGAUGUAGUGCCCAGGAUGCUCUUCGGAUGGCUCCCAGGAUGGGAUUGAACCCAGUUGAGGUCCUUGGGAAAUCAGGCCCUCCUGUUUCCAAGAUCAUAGGCUUU
Molecule: long non-coding RNA, 1094 nt
Organism: Triticum aestivum (bread wheat)
Lineage: Eukaryota; Viridiplantae; Streptophyta; Magnoliopsida; Poales; Poaceae
Exons: 5
Source: RefSeq, a predicted model, not a curated record